RNAcentral lists this ribosomal RNA (497 nucleotides) under uncultured bacterium. RNAcentral describes it as "partial 16S ribosomal RNA". It matches the Rfam family "Bacterial small subunit ribosomal RNA", at positions 28 to 507 of the family's 1533-position model. The record is from RNAcentral.
GAUGAACGCUGGCGGCGUGCCUAAUACAUGCAAGUCGAGCGAACAGACGAGGAGCUUGCUCCUCUGACGUUAGCGGCGGACGGGUGAGUAACACGUGUAUAACCUACCUAUAAUUCUGGGAUAACUUCGGGAAACCGGAUCUAAUACCGUAUAAUCUAUUGCACCGCAUGGUUCAAUAGUGAAAUACGGUUUUUCUGUCACUUAUAGAUGGAUCUGCGCCGCAUUAUCUAGUUGGUAAGGUAACGGCUUACGAAGGCAAGGAUGCGUAGCCGACCUGAGAGGGUGGUAGGCCGCCCUGGAACUGGGACACGGUCCAGAGUACUACGGGAGGGCGCAGUAGGGAAUCUGACGCAACAGGCGAAAGUCUGACGGAGCAACGCCGAGUGAGUGAUGAGGGUCUUCGGUUCGUAAAAAUGUGUUACUAGGGAAGAACAAAUGUGUAAGUAAAUAUGCACGGAUUGACGGUACCUAAUCAGAAAGCCACGGCUAACUACGUG